This is a non-coding RNA of Mus caroli (Ryukyu mouse), 2007 nucleotides long. Lineage: Eukaryota; Metazoa; Chordata; Mammalia; Rodentia; Muridae. The record is from RefSeq and is a predicted model, not a curated record.
UAGUUGCUUCAGGUAACGGUAUGGACUGUCAUGUCUGGGUAACAGCCAGCACAAGGAGUCUCUUCCCACAGGAACCUGGGAGGAAAAUAAACAGGUUACUUCCUCCUCCUGGUCCCACUGGUCCUCAUACCUGCCCUCUCUAUACAGCUAGAUCGGAAUAAUGUGACUGGUCUCACUCUUUCAGGCUAAGACUGUAGCUUAUGCCCCUGGGAAGCAUGAUGCUUGAUCUUAGUUGUCAACAUGAUUGAUUUUAAAAUCAUCUGGAAUCAGACCUUCAGAAGUGUCUAGCCGGCUGUUCCUGGCGAGGCUUACCUGAAUGGGGAGACCCACCUGAAAAAAAAGGGGAGGGGGGAAGAAAAGAGAAAGCAAGUCGAAUGCCAGCCUUUCUUGCUUGAUUUCCUGUUUCGUUGAGUGUGGAGAGGGAGGAGUCACAGCUGAGGAGCACUUCCGCUACUUUGUCUUUCCUACUCGAUGGACCACAUCCUCACACUGUGAACCAAAGCAGUCCCUCCAUUGAGUUGCUUUUCAGCUUUUUUGUUUGGGUUUUGCAAUUCUGAAAAUCCAUCCCAGCCAAACAUUGAGUUAUGCCCUCAGUCCUUCAGUGGCCUUUUGUCACGGCAGUGAAAAGUGUCUGUCUCCAGAUGGCUCGUUAGACCCAAGAAGCAAUUCUCUUUCAUUUAUAAUAUCUGCAAGUAUUUGAAUUGAUACUGAUAUCUUCAGAUUUUAUUGAAAGCUGCUGUGCAGGUCCCAGCUAUUCCAUGCCUUCAUGGCAGAUGAGAAGUGUGUGGCUGUCUGCAAGCAGAGUGUGAAAGAUGGCACAGAUUGUUUUCUUAGGUGCACACAGGCUGACCCUGAAGAUGCACACGUGCCAUUGAAAUAAACCAAGAGUAUUGUGUGGCUUCCAGAGCCCUGCCUGUUCAUGCACCUCUUCCUCUUCCACUCGAACUCAUGUUAGCAGGUAAGCUAGUGAGUAUAAGUAUAAGGCUUUAUAGGGACUACCUUAAAUAACACACAUUUAUAGUAAAUGGCAAACAAAUAAACCAAUUAUAAAUAUUAGACUUCUUGUCACAGACACUGUGUUUAUUCAGACAAUGUCACAUGUCAUGUUUUUAAUUUAUGUUUUUGCAAUUGGUCUCAAACUUCUGGGGAACAUUUUAUUGUUUAUGUAACUUUUAGGAAAGAACACAAUGUUCUUUAGUCAAGAGUCUGAAUAACAGUGUGGAAGAGAAUGCUUGGAAAGAAUUGCAGUAGAGCCUUUACUGCCGCUAGACAGGUAUUGUUUCAGAAUGAUUAACAUAAUGAUUAUUAAUAUUUAAGCUGAACCAUAUAAAUGUAAAUGGCACACAUCUUUCCCUUAUAAUGUAAUUUCAUCCAGUUAAAACUAAUUAAUUUGUUAAUGUUUUCUACUAAUCUACCAUUUAUCUAAAACACACUUGGAAUAUUUUCUAAACCUCAUAAGAAGUAGGAAGGUAGCAUUACAAUGAAUCUUUUGUGUUUCUGUGAGUUUUUCUAAAGAUAAGACAGUUCGUCAAUUAUGUCUCCAUGCUGGCACAGUGUUAGUCUGCACCGGCAUAUGUGUUAUUUGGAGGACACUGGCACAGUCCAGGAUAGCUCUGGCCCAUAGAAUUUGCCCAAUAGUUGGAAGAACAAGAUAUAUAUAUAUAAGCUACCUGUAAAUGUACAUGCUACAUUGUUUCAGUUCCUAUUGUCUCUAGGUGCCACAUAGACACAUAGACACAUUUGUUUCUAGAACAACAGUGCUAGCACUUCCUUUCACUCAGUUUCCCUAAUCUUCAUAUCUUACAUAGCCAUACGCAUUUUCUCAACCCAGGUAUUACCAUUAAUACAUUAUUAAGUAAACUACAUGUCUUUUCAGGUUUAAUGAGCUUUUUAAAUAAUGGGUAUCUUUUUUUUUCUGUUCCAGGGCCUAAUAUUAUAUUUAGCAAAUAUGUGUUUAAUACAGGAUAAAAUAGAAAGGAAAGAUGAAAGGAGUUUUAUAAGUACUCA